RNAcentral lists this unclassified non-coding RNA (246 nucleotides) under Hevea brasiliensis (rubber tree). The record is from RNAcentral. Lineage: Eukaryota; Viridiplantae; Streptophyta; Magnoliopsida; Malpighiales; Euphorbiaceae.
UUCUCAUCAGGGUGCCAACAGUCAACCCCAAUAAAUCUACAAAUGUAUCCUUCAGUGUUGUUGUUAAAGUCCCACGAAGACUUCAGGUAAUUAAAAGGAUCUUCAAGUGAGGCUUUUAUACUCUUCAAGCAAGCAACAUCAGUCUCAGUACAACUGCUCAAACUACAGCUAAGCAACAACCAGAGGCCAUAGCUAGUUAAAAUCUUCAGAAAAUGUCUACCCAACACCAUGUUCACGAAGAUAGCC